GCCGGUUUAGCACAGUGGUAGUGCGUUGCACUUGUACUUCGAGACAUGCAAAGGUCGCUUGUUCGAUCCAGGCAAUCGGCA
This 81-nucleotide transfer RNA is filed under the name Aureobasidium pullulans. RNAcentral describes it as "tRNA-Thr". It matches the Rfam family "tRNA". From Rfam's summary of the family: Transfer RNA (tRNA) molecules are approximately 80 nucleotides in length. Their secondary structure includes four short double-helical elements and three loops (D, anti-codon, and T loops). The record is from RNAcentral. RNAcentral also lists the same sequence under 1 other name. Lineage: Eukaryota; Fungi; Ascomycota; Dothideomycetes; Dothideales; Saccotheciaceae.